This 921-nucleotide long non-coding RNA is filed under the name Pan troglodytes (chimpanzee). RNAcentral describes it as "long non-coding RNA NONPTRT010267". Lineage: Eukaryota; Metazoa; Chordata; Mammalia; Primates; Hominidae. The record is from RNAcentral.
UCCCGUUCCCCGCAGUCUCUCACCACCGGGGCUCCUCAUGCCCCUUCUCUCUGCCCGCUACUGUCCAGUCAACUCAUUCUCAGCUCCCUCCAGCCCCCACAUCCCAUCUCCUCCCCUUUCUCAUUCAUCAUUUCUCUUCUCCUCCCCCGAUCCUUUACCCCCAGCAAUAACCAACACUUACGGAACCCCUAACUGCCAGGCGCUGUGGUCGGGUGCUGAUUGACCGGAGCGGCCGUCGCUUUGGUACAGUCCUCAAUUACCUGCGGGAUGGGUCUGUGCCACUGCCGGAGAGUACGAGGGAACUGGGGGAGCUGCUGGGCGAAGCACGCUACUACCUGGCGCAGGGCCGGAUUGAGGACUGCCGGCUGGCGCUGCAGUGGUCUCUGCUCUUAAUAAGGCCUGGUGCGUGAACUGCUUUGCCUGUUCUACCUGCAACACUAAAUUAACACUCAAGGAUAAGUUUGUUGAAAUUGACCUAAAGCCAGUCUGCAAACACUGUUAUGAGAAAAUGCCAGAAGAAUUUAAGAGGCUACUUGCCAAACGGGAGAGAGAAGCAAAGGAUAAGGACAAGCAGAAAAAGAAAAAGCCAGUCUGUUUGUUUGUAAACUUUUCUAUCCCUGUGUCAUCAUUUUCACUGCUUUCUCCUUUGGUUAGUCCUUUGGAAUAUGUUUUUGUUCUGUUUCUGUCUUUUGCUUUCUUCCCUCCCUGCAACUUUUGGGCGUGUAUUUGUAGUCAUCAGAAAUUUGGGCCAAGGGGAGCGGAUCACGAGGUCAGGAGAUCGAGACUAUCCUGGCUAACACGGUGAAACCCCGUCUCUACUAAAAAUACAAAAAAAAACAUUAGCCAGGCAUGGUGGCGGUUGCCUGUAGUCCCAGCUCCUCGGGAGGCUGAGGCAGGAGAAUGGCUUGAACCCAGGAGGCG